Molecule: long non-coding RNA, 1073 nt
Organism: Scophthalmus maximus (turbot)
Lineage: Eukaryota; Metazoa; Chordata; Actinopteri; Pleuronectiformes; Scophthalmidae
Exons: 5
Source: RefSeq, a predicted model, not a curated record
GCCCUCAGCCAAUAGGAACGGGGCGAAGGUGUGGUUUGCGUGGUUGACUGACAGCGGAUGAGAGGUGAGUGGCAGCCUCUCAUUGGUCGGUUUGAGGACGGGGAGGGGCAACGCGCUGUCGUCUGCAGGUACAAACCAGCUCACCCAGCUCAGGUGUGUGUGCAGGUGGAGGUGAUGAUGACGAUGAUGAUGAAGAAGCUCUGGAAGAGAGCUGGGACUCACGGUUGGCCAACAGGGAGCUGUGUUGCUGCAGAGUGUUGAGGCGGUGAGACGCUGAAAGAGGAGGUGGUGCCACACCUGAGGAGUGAGGGGGGAGGAGACGCUGCUCCUUCUCCCAGGAUCCUUCACUGCCUCCUACAGGAGACGAAACGAGGAAACGAGGACACCAGACUCCGCUCCAUUGCGAUGUCGAUGCUGGUCGCUGUUUCCAUGGAAACCCAUCAUCAUCCUCAUCUUCUGCAGCUUCAGGGCCUCGGCCAUCGCCGCCGUCAGACCUGCGGAGAGACGGCGAACAGCAGAGACGAGUCCGUCGAUCAGCUGAUCUCAGGACGAGGGAGAAACAUUUCCCUCCUCUCUCUCUCUCUCUCUCUCCCUGCAGCCACUCGGCCCAGUUAAUCUCCUCCUCUAAUUAAUUUAAUUAGUAUUAACGAGCCCCCCGGCUCCUGACCAAUGAAAACACUCGUCAGUCUUUUUGUUCUCAGAGUUUCGCUGCAGGAGUCUUUUUUUUCUUCAAAUCUUGCAGCUUCUGAAACUGGAACAUUUUAACGUCCGGAGGCUGAAGGUGAAUCCGGCAGGAGUUUAGCUUUUAGCUUAGCACAAAAAGACUGCAAUCAUAUACAGAUCAAAUGAAUCACAACAUGCCACCACAAGCAUCUGUAACAAUGAAAACGUUUUAAUCAGAGACUGUAUAUAAUUUGGGCUGCGACUAACAAUUAUAUUCAUAAUCGGUUAAUCUGUCGAUUAUUUUCUCAAUUAAUCGAUUAGUUGUUUGGUUCAUAAAAAGGUGAAAAAUGUUGACAUGAUGUUGUUUUGUCCACACACCAAAUAUAUUCAGUUUACUGUCACAGAGGAGC